This 588-nucleotide ribosomal RNA is filed under the name uncultured bacterium. Its description in RNAcentral is "bacterial SSU rRNA". It matches the Rfam family "Bacterial small subunit ribosomal RNA", at positions 338 to 916 of the family's 1533-position model. The record is from RNAcentral.
CCUACGGGAGGCAGCAGUCGAGAGGCUUUGGCAAUGGGGGAAACCCUGACCAAGCGACGCCGCGUGGAGGAUGAAGGCCUUCGGGUUGUAAACUCCUUUUGCUAGGGAAGAAGUGCGAUCAGGUGAACAAUCUGGUCGUUUGACGGUACCUGGCGAAUAAGCUCCGGCUAACUCCGUGCCAGCAGCCGCGGUAACACGGGGGGAGCAAGCGUUGUUCGGAAUCACUGGGCGUAAAGGGCGUGUAGGCGGUCAAGUAAGUGGGAUGUGAAAUCCCUCGGCUCACCCGAGGACCUGCAUCCCAAACUGCUUGGCUUGAGUAUGGGAGAGGAUGAGGGAAUUCCUGGUGUAGCGGUGAAAUGCGUAGAUAUCAGGAGGAACACCGGUGGCGAAGGCGCUCAUCUGGCCCAAUACUGACGCUGAGGCGCGAAAGCUAGGGGAGCAAACGGGAUUAGAUACCCCGGUAGUCCUAGCCGUAAACGGUGAUCACUAGGUGUUGGAGGCAUCGACCCCUCCAGUGCCGCAGCUAACGCAUUAAGUGAUCCGCCUGGGGAGUACGGCCGCAAGGUUGAAACUCAAAGGAAUUGACGG